Molecule: small nuclear RNA, 141 nt
Organism: Syngnathoides biaculeatus (alligator pipefish)
Lineage: Eukaryota; Metazoa; Chordata; Actinopteri; Syngnathiformes; Syngnathidae
Product: U4 spliceosomal RNA
Exons: 1
Source: RefSeq, a predicted model, not a curated record
AGCUUUGCGCAGUGGCAGUACCGUAGCCUGUGAGGUUCAUCCGAGGUGCGGUUAUUGCUAAUUGAAAACUUUACCCAAUACCCCGCCUUGAAGACUUGUAAUAUAGUCAGCUAUGGCAAUUUUUGGCAGUCUCCACGGAGA